AGAGUUUGAUCCUGGCUCAGGACGAACGCUGGCGGCGUGCUUAACACAUGCAAGUCGAACGGAAAGGCCCCUUCGGGGGUACUCGAGUGGCGAACGGGUGAGUAACACGUGGGUGAUCUGCCCUGCACUUUGGGAUAAGCCUGGGAAACUGGGUCUAAUACCGAAUAGGACCGCAUGCUUCAUGGUGUGUGGUGGAAAGCUUUUGCGGUGUGGGAUGGGCCCGCGGCCUAUCAGCUUGUUGGUGGGGUAAUGGCCUACCAAGGCGACGACGGGUAGCCGGCCUGAGAGGGUGUCCGGCCACACUGGGACUGAGAUACGGCCCAAACUCCUACGGGAGGCAGCAGUGGGGAAUAUUGCACAAUGGGCGCAAGCCUGAUGCAGCGACGCCGCGUGGGGGAUGACGGCCUUCGGGUUGUAAACCUCUUUCAGUAUCGGCGAAGCUCCAGGAUUUUUCUUGGGGUGACGGUAGGUACAGAAGAAGCACCGGCCAACUACGUGCCAGCAGCCGCGGUAAUACGUAGGGUGCGAGCGUUGUCCGGAAUUACUGGGCGUAAAGAGCUCGUAGGUGGUUUGUCACGUUGUCUGUGAAAACUCACAGCUUAACUGUGGGCGUGCGGGCGAUACGGGCAGACUGGAGUACUGUAGGGGAGACUGGAAUUCCUGGUGUAGCGGUGGAAUGCGCAGAUAUCAGGAGGAACACCGGUGGCGAAGGCGGGUCUCCGGGCAGUAACUGACGCUGAGGAGCGAAAGCGUGGGGAGCGAACAGGAUUAGAUACCCUGGUAGUCCAA
Molecule: ribosomal RNA, 789 nt
Filed under: uncultured bacterium
Lineage: Bacteria
Description: bacterial SSU rRNA
Rfam family: Bacterial small subunit ribosomal RNA
Source: RNAcentral